This 69-nucleotide transfer RNA is filed under the name Pandion haliaetus. Its description in RNAcentral is "tRNA-Asp". Lineage: Eukaryota; Metazoa; Chordata; Aves; Accipitriformes; Pandionidae. The record is from RNAcentral.
GAGAUGUUAGUAAACCAAUUACAUAGACCCGUCAAGACUAAAUCACAGGCAAAACUCCUGUACAUCUCA